Molecule: ribosomal RNA, 222 nt
Filed under: uncultured Actinomycetales bacterium
Lineage: Bacteria; Bacillati; Actinomycetota; Actinomycetes; Actinomycetales
Description: partial 16S ribosomal RNA
Rfam family: Bacterial small subunit ribosomal RNA
Source: RNAcentral
UCACGUCGUCUGUGAAAUUCCACAGCUUAACUGUGGGCGUGCAGGCGAUACGGGCUGACUUGAGUACUGUACGGGUAACUGGAAUUCCUUGGUGUAGCGGUGAAAUGCGCACAUAUCAAGAGGAACACCGAUGGCGAAGGCAGGUUACUGGGCAGUUACUCGACGCUGAUGACCGAAAGCAUGGGUAGCAUACAUGAUUAGAUACCCUGGUACUCAAGGGCG